This is a transfer RNA of Camelus ferus (Wild Bactrian camel), 72 nucleotides long. It matches the Rfam family "tRNA". Rfam says of the family: Transfer RNA (tRNA) molecules are approximately 80 nucleotides in length. Their secondary structure includes four short double-helical elements and three loops (D, anti-codon, and T loops). The record is from Rfam. Lineage: Eukaryota; Metazoa; Chordata; Mammalia; Artiodactyla; Camelidae.
GAGGGUAUAGCUCAGUGGUAGAGCACAUGCUUAGCAUGCACGAGGUCCUGGGUUCACUCCCUGGUACCUUCA